GUGGUGACGCUCCGAGCAACGGAAUUC
This 27-nucleotide small RNA is filed under the name Bombyx mori (domestic silkworm). RNAcentral describes it as "ovarian small RNA-5513". The record is from RNAcentral. Lineage: Eukaryota; Metazoa; Arthropoda; Insecta; Lepidoptera; Bombycidae.